UAAGUUAGUGUUGGUUUCUGAUGAGGCGAAGCCGAAACGCAACACAGUAUGAAAUAAGGAUUUGUGCCCUCCUGUACAAAGACUGGUUUUUACCAACAAAUUUUCACCCUAGCGAGAAAUUUUGGUUUUUACCAAAUUUUCCUCCUUAGGGUGAAAUAUAGCAUAGUGCUUUCGCAUAGGCCUGCUAAGCCAAGACAAGUUUCGGUUUCACUGUGUCUCAUCGGCAUAAACAGAACUUCUGCUCGAACGGGACAUCACGUUUGAUCAGUCGUUCGAUUGAAACACAAAGUGUGUUUUAGUUUUAAGGGAUUUGCGUCAAGCCAGCGCUAAUCUAUUCCGACAAUAAGUUAGUGUUGGUUUCUGAUGAGGCGAAGCCGAAACGCAACACAGUAUGAAAUAAGGAUUUGUGCCCUCAUGUACAAAGACUGGUUUUUACCAACAAAUUUUCACCCUAGCGAGAAAUUUUGGUUUUUACCAAAUUUUCCUCCUUAGGGUGAAAUAUAGCAUAGUGCUUUCGCAUAGGCCUGCUAAGCCAAGACAAGUUUCGGUUUCACUGUGUCUCAUCGGCAUAAACAGAACUUCUGCUCGAACGGGACAUCACGUUUGAUCAGUCGUUCGAUUGAAACACAAAGUGUGUUUUAGUUUUAAGGGAUUUGCGUCAAGCCGGCGCUAAUCUAUUCCGACAAUAAGUUAGUGUUGGUUUCUGAUGAGGCGAAGCCGAAAUGCAACACAGUAUGAGGUAAAUUUUGCUUUUGCUGGUACUACAUCACUUGCUCGCAGGUUCGAAUAUAUUACAUAAAACAAGGAAUGUUUUUAAAGAAAUUAUCAGUUAGAAAACAGAGUUUCCUACAACAACAGCUCAAUUGAAGAAUCUCUUAAAAUGAAACGUAAGUGUUCAGUUUGUGGUAUUUUGAUGUUGAGUACGCGUAUCAGAAAACUCACCAAUAACUUGUACGAUUGCGCAAUGAAAAAAAAAUAUGAAAAUAGAUGAGAGCAGCCUCCUUCAUUUGUUUUCGUUGCUACAAGAAACUGUAUGAACCAAAUGACUCCGAGACCGAAGAAGCCGUUGCAGGACCAUCGAGAAUCGCUGUUCCAGGUAUAUUAUCGAAAAUAUGACAUGAUUGUUUUUAAAAUUUCAAUUCUUUUCUGCAAAUUACUAACACGAACUCUUGUUCUUUGACCGCCAUUGCAGGACUUUCCGGAUUCAUUCCAUUUUCCUACCAAGACUCGUUAGAAGCACCCAGUUCUGAAUCGAUCGUUACCACUUACCACGCACCUUUGUCGGACGAUAAUGAAAUUGUUACACUAGAGAUGUGCAAACCAGCAUUUUAAUUCUUUGGAACAGCUCAGGAGCGGAUCGCCCAUCUCUAUGUUACACAACUUAAGGAGAAAUAUAAAGAAACAAGAGACAGCAAUGAGCGAUACAGGAUUUUAACCACACUUCCCAAAAGUUGGACUACAUAUAGAAUUAUGCAGGAGUUCAAUGUUCCUCAAUAUAUGGCCAACACAGCAAAAGCAUUGCGGCAAAAUUUACGUACAGAGAAGAUUAGGUGUUGCGGCAGAGCGCUUUCUAUAGCCGUCCCCUAAACUCAACACAGUCGACCACGCAACAAUAUGUGAAAUACUUUCAUCUGUGAUAUAUUGAACCCUACAAUACGCAUUGAAUAAAGUUUUAAUUUUGUCAGUCCAUCUCAGCCACCGCCGGCGGCGGAUGGUAUACAGCAGUUCAUUGUUUUAUUCCUGUUAUCACCGUCCGUGCGUGUCGAAUAGAAGUAGUAAUUUUAUCGGGUCCUAUCGCCAGACGCAUCAUAAUGGUGCCGUGACCAGGAUUUUUGAACCUUCCAUCGGAAAGCUGCAACGGUUACAAGAAGAUACAAGUGGAUAUCGAGACGCUUCGGCUAUGCCGGUGUGAGCAAAUUCGCAGCUGCUUAGCAAAAAUCCCCCAGCGGAGCUAUGCCAGUGUGGGCCAAUUUGCAGCCGCUUAGCAGAAUACACUUCGGCAUCCGGCUCAUAGGACGACUGCACGCCUUGCAUCGUUCUGGAGUGUAUUCCAAACCCAGCAAGUGUUCCGUCGAUAUUCUUCGAUCGUCUUCUGGAUCAACGUUCAGCAUCAUUCGACAUCUUCAAAGUAGCAAUGGAGGAAUCAGCAUCAACGGUAUCCUUCAUCAUAUCAUCACGUAUGACAUCCAAACACAACGUAGCUGUAUUAAAAACCUUCGGUUUUGGGGGGGACUAUGUUGCGGCAGAGCGCUUUCUAUAGCCGUCCCCUAAACUCAACACAGUCGACCACGCAACAAUAUGUGAAAUACUUUCAUCUGUGAUAUAUUGAACCCUACAAUACGCAUUGAAUAAAGUUUUAAUUUUGUCAGUCCAUCUCAGCCACCGCCGGCGGCGGAUGGUAUACAGCAGUUCAUUGUUUUAUUCCUGUUAUCACCGUCCGUGCGUGUCGAAUAGAAGUAGUAAUUUUAUCGGGUCCUAUCGCCAGACGCAUCAUUAGGUUUUAACGACAUUCAAUUAGCUAGAGAUUACUGGGUAGGGAAAGUUAUGAAACUUAGUUUUCCGA
Molecule: long non-coding RNA, 2563 nt
Organism: Topomyia yanbarensis
Lineage: Eukaryota; Metazoa; Arthropoda; Insecta; Diptera; Culicidae
Exons: 3
Source: RefSeq, a predicted model, not a curated record